CCUACGGGAGGCAGCAGUGAGGAAUAUUGGUCAAUGGACGAGAGUCUGAACCAGCCAAGUAGCGUGAAGGAUGACUGCCCUAUGGGUUGUAAACUUCUUUUAUACGGGAAUAAAGUGAGGCACGUGUGCCUUUUUGUAUGUACCGUAUGAAUAAGGAUCGGCUAACUCCGUGCCAGCAGCCGCGGUAAUACGGAGGAUCCGAGCGUUAUCCGGAUUUAUUGGGUUUAAAGGGAGCGCAGACGGGUCGUUAAGUCAGCUGUGAAAGUUUGGGGCUCAACCUUAAAAUUGCAGUUGAUACUGGCGUCCUUGAGUGCGGUUGAGGUGUGCGGAAUUCGUGGUGUAGCGGUGAAAUGCUUAGAUAUCACGAAGAACUCCGAUUGCGAAGGCAGCCUGCUAAGCUGCAACUGACAUUGAGGCUCGAAAG
Molecule: ribosomal RNA, 424 nt
Filed under: uncultured Bacteroides sp.
Lineage: Bacteria; Pseudomonadati; Bacteroidota; Bacteroidia; Bacteroidales; Bacteroidaceae
Description: bacterial SSU rRNA
Rfam family: Bacterial small subunit ribosomal RNA
Source: RNAcentral